UACGGGGGGGGGCAAGCGUUGUUCGGAAUUACUGGGCGUAAAGGGCUCGUAGGUGGCCAACUAAGUCGGACGUGAAAUCCCUCGGCUUAACCGGGGAACUGCGUCCGAUACUGGUUGGCUUGAGUUUGGGAGAGGGAUGCGGAAUUCCAGGUGUAGCGGUGAAAUGCGUAGAUAUCUGGAGGAACACCGGUGGCGAAGGCGGCGUCCUGGACCAACACUGACACUGAGGAGCGAAAGCCAGGGGAGCAAACGGG
Molecule: ribosomal RNA, 254 nt
Filed under: uncultured bacterium
Lineage: Bacteria
Description: partial 16S ribosomal RNA
Rfam family: Bacterial small subunit ribosomal RNA
Source: RNAcentral